This 76-nucleotide transfer RNA is filed under the name Paenibacillus alvei. RNAcentral describes it as "tRNA-Ala". It matches the Rfam family "tRNA". Rfam says of the family: Transfer RNA (tRNA) molecules are approximately 80 nucleotides in length. The record is from RNAcentral. RNAcentral also lists the same sequence under 1 other name. Lineage: Bacteria; Bacillati; Bacillota; Bacilli; Caryophanales; Paenibacillaceae.
GGGGCCAUAGCUCAGCUGGGAGAGCGCUUCGCUGGCAGCGAUGAGGUCAGGGGUUCGAUCCCCCUUGGCUCCACCA